GCGGCUAGACGGAAAGACCCCGUGAACCUUUACUACAGCUUGGCACUGAACAUUGAACCUACAUGUGUAGGAUAGGUGGGAGGCUAUGAAGACGUGACGCUAGUUGCGUUGGAGCCGUCCUUGAAAUACCACCCUUGUAUGUUUGAUGUUCUAACUUAGACCCAUUAUCUGGGUUGAGGACAGUGCCUGGUGGGUAGUUUG
RNAcentral lists this ribosomal RNA (201 nucleotides) under Vibrio cholerae. RNAcentral's name for it is "partial 23S ribosomal RNA". It matches the Rfam family "Bacterial large subunit ribosomal RNA", at positions 2072 to 2272 of the family's 2925-position model. Lineage: Bacteria; Pseudomonadati; Pseudomonadota; Gammaproteobacteria; Vibrionales; Vibrionaceae. The record is from RNAcentral.